RNAcentral lists this ribosomal RNA (139 nucleotides) under Cleptoria rileyi. RNAcentral describes it as "partial small subunit ribosomal RNA". Lineage: Eukaryota; Metazoa; Arthropoda; Diplopoda; Polydesmida; Xystodesmidae. The record is from RNAcentral.
AAGGUGGAUUUGUAAGUAAUUAUUUUAUAUAAUUAAUAAAUGAAGGGUGGAAUAACAUGUGUACAUAUUGCCCGUCGCUCUCGUUAUUUUUGAGAUAAGUCGUAACAUAGUUGAUGGACUGGAAAGUGUAUCUUUUUGA